ACCAAAAUUCCAUGCUAACAGAAUGUUCUCUCUCUAAUCUCGCUGAAUCUUUUUCCAGCGCAGCAAAUCUGGAAACGUUUGAAAAUUCCUCUGUGAUUUUUUCUUUUUGGUUGUGAUUGUCGGCCUGAUUUCGCCCAGCUUUGCGCUCUACAAUCAUCCAUGGGCCGAACGCUUCCUCUGAUGUUGCCGGAGCAGACCCUUUAGCCACCGUCUCAGAAACUCCCCCUAGACCGCCAUCGGUGUUCCGACCUGUCAAAGAAAAAGGGCAAAGAUUUUUUAGAUGUACGUAUCUGCCACAUGUAAAACAAACCGCAGGAAUCCCUACAAUCCUGGAAAAUGGAUCCAGGUCAGAACCAUGCUUGGGAAGGGCCUCGACGGAUUAAAGUCCACCAUCCACGGCUAGACUGUUAGGUAGCGACGAACACUAUCCAUGGUCCUUGAGUCAAAGCCAUUUCUUAAUCAUUCUUGUUUUGAAAACGGACCAAAUAGUAACCAUUUUCCAUGUCCAUUAAGCGAAAGGGUUGAGAGGGUUUCCAAUGGCUGGUAAUCUGGUUGAACAGAACACCAUACCCUAUAUUGCGCCCCAACAAUUUCACGAUAGCCGUGGUCUCCAUAUCUUUAACUAAGACUUUUUUAAUCCGCUUAGAGAAGUCAAUGGUUGGAAUACCAUUGAUGAUAGAUCUUAGGAUGUCUCCUUCUUCAAACUUUAAAUCCACGUCAGUAGAACCAUCCGAUAUCAUGUAGCAGUCUAAGGACCCCGUGCCUUUCCUUUCCCACAAUUUGUCCUUCCAAGAAAUUUUGCUCACCGGAGCCGUAUCAACCACCAUGUUUGCUGCUGCAUUUUCUCCUACAUCUUUGAAUCUAACUUUCUUUGUGUUACGAUCCUCGUUAGAACCAUCGCUGGAAUAAAAUCGUAGGGUUGUUCAUCGCUGGAA
Long non-coding RNA from Gossypium raimondii (Peruvian cotton), 935 nucleotides. RefSeq lists it as uncharacterized. The record is from RefSeq and is a predicted model, not a curated record. NCBI's taxonomy places the organism in Eukaryota, Viridiplantae, Streptophyta, Magnoliopsida, Malvales, Malvaceae. The transcript has 2 exons.